CCUUCCCUGGAGUGGUGGAUAACCUGCCGAAAGGCGGGCUAAUACAGCAUGGGACCACGACGCUUUGGCGAUGUGGUGAAAGCGGGCCUCUAUAUAUAAGCUCGCGCUCCGGGACGGGUCCGCGUCCCAUCAGCUAGUUGGUGAGGUAACGGCUCACCAAGGCAACGACGGGUAGCUGGUCUGAGAGGAUGGCCAGCCACACUGGAACUGAGACACGGUCCAG
RNAcentral lists this ribosomal RNA (223 nucleotides) under uncultured bacterium. RNAcentral's name for it is "partial 16S ribosomal RNA". It matches the Rfam family "Bacterial small subunit ribosomal RNA", at positions 125 to 334 of the family's 1533-position model. The record is from RNAcentral.